GUGCCCUGGUAAGGCGGACGCGCUGCCUCAGGAGGCUAACGCAGAAGGGCAAAGUAAGUCGCCAUAAAACCCAGAGACAAGAGGGUGAAACUCCUCUUUGGAUCCUGUCUAGAGUCACAGCU
Small nucleolar RNA from Phyllostomus hastatus (greater spear-nosed bat), 122 nucleotides. RefSeq annotates it as small nucleolar RNA SNORA26. The record is from RefSeq and is a predicted model, not a curated record. Lineage: Eukaryota; Metazoa; Chordata; Mammalia; Chiroptera; Phyllostomidae. The transcript has a single exon.